AGGUGCCGAAAAACAAUAGAUAGGCGUAUCCCCAGUUUGGGUAUAAAAUCUGUGGUUUGGAGAGAGAGAGACAGACAGUCCGAGAUACAGACAGAGAUAGACAGAGUAAGAUACAGAGAUAUUGCACAUUUGCAUACUAACGGACGACCCAGCAUUAGCCUAGUAAGUUAUGACGUGUCUCGCGUAAACCUAGUGUAUGCGCAUACCUUGUUAUGGAAUUAUACAUAGUAUAUAUAAAGAGAAUCACUGAAUACGUAUACCAGUGUUGUUGUGUUCUUUAUAAUAUUAUUCCAAUAGACGUUAGCACAGGGUGUUCUAUAUACACUCACGCGUAACCACUUAUACGAUCACGGUAAGCGAGCAGCUUCCCUACACCAGCUCUAUGUUCCAACAUCCUUAUUUUGUCCUUAUUGUGGUAGGCUUAGACAACAAUAUGUUACAGACGGAAUUUUUUCAUUUUCUCACUAAUCUUUACAAUUUCUGUACUUCGUUGUUUGUUUAGUCAUUACAUUUUUAAGAAAUAACACUCGAUGGGGGACAUAGGGACUGGGGAACCUAGGGACCGGGAAACAGGGAUAUGGAACAUUAUAUAAUUGAUAAUUAAUAUGCUAUAUUUUAUAUUAUUAUAUUAUAUUAUCAAUAUCUUAUAUUCAUAUAUUAUCAUUUCACAUAUUAUUACAUAUAAAUACAUUACAUCCCGCACCACUGCAUCAAGGAGCACCAUGACAGUUACCGAGUGUGUAUAUGAGAUGUGUAAAGACUAGUAACCUUGAAACAACAUUUAGUUGCAGCCAUGGCAAUUGGCAGGUUGGCCAUUUGCCUGUCAGUUACCAGGAAAAUCAUACACUAUAACUGCUUCAUGUAAAUCUACAACCCGUAAAGAACAACAUUAGUAC
Molecule: long non-coding RNA, 896 nt
Organism: Priapulus caudatus
Lineage: Eukaryota; Metazoa; Priapulida; Priapulimorpha; Priapulimorphida; Priapulidae
Exons: 3
Source: RefSeq, a predicted model, not a curated record